This 154-nucleotide ribosomal RNA is filed under the name uncultured fungus. RNAcentral's name for it is "partial 5.8S ribosomal RNA". It matches the Rfam family "5.8S ribosomal RNA". From Rfam's summary of the family: 5.8S ribosomal RNA (5.8S rRNA) is a component of the large subunit of the eukaryotic ribosome. It is transcribed by RNA polymerase I as part of the 45S precursor that also contains 18S and 28S rRNA. Lineage: Eukaryota; Fungi. The record is from RNAcentral.
AAUUUUCAACAACGGAUCCCUUGGCUCUCGCAUCGAUGAAGAACGCAGCGAAAUGCGAUAAGUAAUGUGAAUUGCAGAAUUCAGUGAAUCAUCGAAUCUUUGAACGCACCUUGCGCUCUUUGGUAUUCCGAAGAGCAUGCCUGUUUGAGUGUCA